UCCCCAGUGGUUCAGAUGGUAAAGUGUCUGCCUGCAAUGCGGGAGACCUGGGUUCGAUUCCUGGGUCGGGAA
Molecule: transfer RNA, 72 nt
Filed under: Bos taurus (domestic cattle)
Lineage: Eukaryota; Metazoa; Chordata; Mammalia; Artiodactyla; Bovidae
Rfam family: tRNA
About the family: Transfer RNA (tRNA) molecules are approximately 80 nucleotides in length. Their secondary structure includes four short double-helical elements and three loops (D, anti-codon, and T loops).
Source: Rfam by way of RNAcentral